This 400-nucleotide ribosomal RNA is filed under the name uncultured bacterium. RNAcentral describes it as "bacterial SSU rRNA". It matches the Rfam family "Bacterial small subunit ribosomal RNA", at positions 355 to 748 of the family's 1533-position model. The record is from RNAcentral.
UCGAGAAUUUUUCUCAAUGGGGGAAACCCUGAAGGAGCGACGCCGCGUGGAGGAUGAAGGUCUUCGGAUUGUAAACUCCUGUCAUGAGGGAGUAAGACACAGCGUUAACUGCGUAUGUGUUUGAUAGUACCUCAAGAGGAAGAGACGGCUAACUCUGUGCCAGCAGCCGCGGUAAUACAGAGGUCUCAAGCGUUGUUCGGAUUCAUUGGGCGUAAAGGGUGCGUAGGCGGUUGUGUAAGUCAGAGGUGAAAUUCCGGGGCUCAACCUCGGAACUGCCUUUGAUACUGCUCAACUCGAGUACUGGAGAGGAGACUGGAAUUCACGGUGUAGCAGUGAAAUGCGUAGAUAUCGUGAGGAAGACCAGUGGCGAAGGCGAGUCUCUGGACAGUUACUGACGCUG